This 497-nucleotide ribosomal RNA is filed under the name uncultured bacterium. RNAcentral describes it as "partial 16S ribosomal RNA". It matches the Rfam family "Bacterial small subunit ribosomal RNA", at positions 28 to 507 of the family's 1533-position model. The record is from RNAcentral.
GACGAACGCUGGCGGCGUGCCUAAUACAUGCAAGUAGAACGCUGAAGAGAGGAGCUUGCUCUUCUCGGAUGAGUUGCGAACGGGUGAGUAACGCGUAGGUAACCUGCUUUGCAGCGGGGGAUAACUAUUGGAAACGAUAGCUAAUACCGCAUAACAAUGGAUGACACAUGUCAUUUAUUUGAAAGGGGCAAUUGCUCCACUACAACAUGGACCUGCGUUGUAUUAGUUAGUAGGUGAGGUACUGGCUCACCUAGGCGGCGAUACAUAGCCGACCUGAGAGGGUGAUCAGCCACACUGGGACUGUGACACGGCACAGAGUCCUACGGGAGGGAGCAGUAGGGAAUCUUCAGCAAUGGGGGCAACACUGACCGAGCAGCGCCGCGUGAGUGAAGAAGGUUUUCGGAUCGUAGAGCUCUGUUGUAAGUCAAGAACGGGUGUGAGAGUGGAAAGUACACACUGUGACGGUAGCUUACCAGAAAGCGACGGCUAACUACGUG